CACACCUUUGACCGAGGCGCGCCUGCAGGAGACUUUCAGACACAGACAGCAGUACCCAGUACUCCCUGUACUCCUGGCACCACUGGUACUCCUGAUACCACUGGUACUCGUGGUACCCCCGGUACCCCUGGUACUCCCGGUAGUCUGUAUUUUAUUAUGGGCUCAACUAUUGGCUUUGCUGCUUUGGUGUCUAUUCCUGCUGUUGUCUUUGUUGUGUAGAAAUGGAGAAAAAAGAAAUUCAAAAACAAGAGGAGGAGCCACGAGGAUGGACCUGAACAGACCGAUGAAGAAAAGGCAGUCACAUCUAAGAGUGAUAACACAGGAUUCCAGGUCGUGAUGGAAGGAGAAGGAGAAGGUGUACCGCUUAUGGCAGGAAGACAGGAAGAGACUACUGUGGACAAUGGAGGAGAAGAUCGAAUCUCAAAGUGAACGAAAAGAUCCCCAGUUUGUGGCUAAAAGAGAAACACACCAAGAACAAAAACCAGAGAGCACUGGGCGUUCACUGGGGCGAAAUCACUGUUAUUUAUUUCUAGAAAUAAGUUGUGUAUUCCCAUUCACUUUAAAACAUUUGGGGUAUUUUUUUAAAGUAAACUCACUAGAGCACAAAAUGUGGAUUAAUCCACUGCUGAAAAUCGUCCCCAACAAGUGACUAAUGUUUGAUUUAAACUACAGUGCUGUUUUAGGAAAUUACUGAGCCUAUAUAAAAAUGAAAUAACACCAAACUAAUGAGUUGGUGGCCUCUUGUGCUAAUGACUGCUUGUAUGUUUAAUGUUGUGUUGUCCUAGCAGGUGACAGUCAACCCAAUGAUUGUGACCAAUCAAUUCAGCUUCUCCUCACAGAUGAAAGAUUUUAUAUUGUUUUAUUAAAUAACAUUUUUUAACAUACUUAUUAUUCAGAUUUGUGAAUAUGAGGAUGACAAUUAAAAUUCAUGCAAUUCAGUCAUAAUCUGGUUGCACUCUUCUGUAACAUCACUCGGUUCUGGCUGGUUGAUAUCACAGUUAAGAAAUCUUUUUUUGUCUUCACUACACAUUUAAUGAAAUAGGUUAAAAGUUGUCAGAAUUUAAAGAUAGGAUCAAAUUCAUGGACAAGUCUUCACCUGAAUUUUUGAUUUUCAACCCUUUCACCUUAAACCUUCAGAGUAAAAUGCCACCCAUCUUUAAGGUUCAAUGUAACUCGUUACCACCCACCUCUGCAUAUGAAAUGCAGUGGUGGAAGAAGUAUUGAGAUAAUUAUUAAAAUUAUUAUUAUUAUUAGAGAAAAUUAUUAUUCUGUGAUCCUUAGAAAGUGGUUUGUCAGCUCUGUGAGAUAAGAGAUUAAGAUCAGAAAAUAAUAAGUUUUCUCCAGAUGUGUUCUGAAAACAUUAUAACAGACAAUGACAAAAAAGAAUCAAAAGGAGAAAAAAACUAAUAUAAAGGCUGAAAGCUUUAUAACUGAAGGUGAAGAUCAGGGAGGCCAAGGAGAAGUACAGGAGGAAGCUGGA
This is a long non-coding RNA of Siniperca chuatsi (mandarin fish), 1480 nucleotides long. RefSeq lists it as uncharacterized. NCBI's taxonomy places the organism in Eukaryota, Metazoa, Chordata, Actinopteri, Centrarchiformes, Sinipercidae. The record is from RefSeq and is a predicted model, not a curated record. The transcript is spliced from 3 exons.